UGCAGAAACGAAGACCAACCCGACCAGAAGUGUUAUGAUUAUCGCGUUCGUUUCAGCUGCCCUGCCUCUUUCUGUGAUAGAGAUGGUAAUCUUCUGUCCAAGCAAAGGAUUCAUUUUCCGGACCGAGGACCAGGAAUGUGAUAAAUGCCUCGACUACAAAGUCCGGUUUGGGUGCUCGUGCUAGAAAAAAGCCCAGACUCUACCACAAUCACUGGGGAGAAGAGUCAUUAUUUCAAUUUUGAUCACUUGAAAUUUUGUCUGAUUUUUCUUUCAUGUUAAAUUUACUUUCAUAAUGUGCCAGUUGGAGGAAGUACAAUAGACCUUUUUCGAUCUUAAAAGAAUUUAUUCGGAAGUGUGGUGUGUUUACGACAGAUGAUCUGAGCAGUAUCUACGUAGUCAGUAGGAGGUACUGGAAAGCAGUUCAAUGGUAAUUUUAUAAUUUAAAAUACAGAUUUAGUUUGCAGUAAAGUAAAUGUAUACACUCAAUCUUAUAAAAUGCGUGUUUAUGUGGGAUUAGGGAUUGUUAGACUCAGAAUAAUAUGAAUAUAAUGAUGAUUUAAUAAAAGCAAUCAUGCAA
Pseudoliparis swirei is the source of this 577-nucleotide long non-coding RNA. RefSeq lists it as uncharacterized. The record is from RefSeq and is a predicted model, not a curated record. Lineage: Eukaryota; Metazoa; Chordata; Actinopteri; Perciformes; Liparidae. The transcript is spliced from 2 exons.